CCCCCCGCCGUGGCGAUGAGAAAGAGGAGGAGGAGGAGGAGGAAGCCUGGGCGGCGGCUGCCUGAACAUGGGAGAGAGGUGUCUCUGGCGUGGGCUUGUUUGUUUGUUGGUUGCCUCGCCAUGCCCCCAGGGUUUGCCCCCACCCCGCCGUCUCCUCCUGACGGAGCUGGAAGAGGAGGAGGAGGAGGAGGAAGAGAAGAGCCACAGCCCGGCCGUCAGUCCCGCCGGACGACUCGCCUCUCCUCCUUUCUCCCCGAUCGGCCACGGGGGUGUGCUUCUUAAGAGCCACACCACCACCACUAUCACCCCCAGCAACAGCGAGAGGAGCGGCGGUGUCCUGAACUGGAGCAACCGCCGGUCCCGACCGGUCCGCGCCGAGGAAGAAAACUGGCCACAGCAAGUGGCUGAAAUCUGGGGACCUUGUUUGGAUCCAUGGAGAAAGCGAUGCUGCAGGAUCUCCAGCAUGGAGCUGCGCCUCUGUUGCAGAUCCAUGAGAGUUUAUUGUGCCUAUCAAGGUUUCUGGGUCACUCAUCAUACUUUAUGUUGCCAUGCUUGGUUUAUAUCCCAAGCACAAGGGGCAAAUUUGCUCUAUAUCAUAUAUUCCCUUCAUCUUGCCUACUCCAAAUAUCUAUUGGCUUGGGUUCUUGUUGGUCCCCAACUGUUCCAUAAAUUUGGCAUUCAUUGUUCAACGACUGCCAUUUUUACCAGCUUAGCUCCUAGCAUCGCUCGCUGCCCCCUGUGCUUUUGUUAUGAGAGCAGCUUUCACAGAUGCUGCAAUGAUGCCAGAUCAGCAGCGUCCCUGAGAUGCAGAUCCAAAACCUGAGACCAGAGGGCAGGGCCUUGUGAGAUCAUAUGGUGGAUCCGUGUGAUGCCACAGAGGAAGGGUAGGCAGGAUUUGGGAGAGAAGGCUGCACAACACACAUGCAGAUGCCUUUGUGCUGAACCUGUGAGUCCAGGUACUAGGAGGAAAUGGACAGAGAUGGUUGUCCAGGCUUUAAAGCUACCUGGCAAGCCUGGCAGGGAGCCAUCACACAGAAAAUCUGGAGGUGUUCAGAGAAAUCAUGAUACAGAAAGCUGAAGUGAAUGAAUGAUGUUUGCAGCCCAGAGAAACUGCUUUCUGGACUACAGUUCCCUGAAAUGGCCCUACUGUCUCAGAGAUUCUUGAGAGAAUAAUCCAAAAAAGCAACUUUAAAAAGCUUUGCUGAAUCUUUAGAGAAAAUUACGAUCUAGGGAUGGGAAGUUAUCUAUUCAUUAAUCCACUCUGGCCUAAUUUUUCCCCCUUCAAAGCUGAGGCAUUACUAUGUUCAUUCCAGCUGUAGAUCAUUAAUGUGAUGUGUGGACCCUUUCUUUACAACCUUUAAAAGCUGCCCAGUGAACCAGGCAACCAUCAGGAAAAAAAGUUUUAAGGAAAAUUGGAUUGCUUUACCUUAAAAUACAGCUUUGCCACAAGAGAGUGCCAGGAUAUUGAACUAACUUACAAUAACACACUCAUUGUCCAUCCAAACCAACAUCAGCAUGGCACCUUAGUGCCCACAUGGGACUGGCACAGUUUCCAAACUGUUCUACUUUUCGUCUUGUUUGUAAAAGCAUUGGUAGGCAAAGAGCAGUCAGUCGGGCAUUUACAGGUUGGAAGACGUCGGUGCCUUGUGUCUUGGAACCAAACAGUGAACCCACACUGGAGUUCCAGUGGGGACCUGAAUGAUAUUUUUAUAUGUGUAAAUGCCACCAAUGUGUAUCUUUAUUAAAAACUGAUUCCAAACAAGAGUUCAUGUGUCUCUUGUGUGCUAUGUGUGUUAUUCUCUUUUUGCUUCAGCUGUGAAAAA
Long non-coding RNA from Pogona vitticeps (central bearded dragon), 1823 nucleotides. Ensembl lists it as uncharacterized. Lineage: Eukaryota; Metazoa; Chordata; Lepidosauria; Squamata; Agamidae. The record is from Ensembl.